This is a long non-coding RNA of Manihot esculenta (cassava), 2131 nucleotides long. RefSeq lists it as uncharacterized. Lineage: Eukaryota; Viridiplantae; Streptophyta; Magnoliopsida; Malpighiales; Euphorbiaceae. The record is from RefSeq and is a predicted model, not a curated record. The transcript has 2 exons.
GUUUCCAUAGUUCAACACCAAAUAACGCUUUAUUAUUGAGGAGAAGGAGAUCUGCAAUGUACAACUCUUCUUAUUUAGCUAAUAGAAUUUGGGUUUUCACCUUUGAAAAGUGAAGUAAUAUAGCAAAAUCAAAAGUGCAGAGCAAGAGAACAGAAAAAAAAAAAAGACAAUCUCACAUAAGAAAGAGAAUUUAUUUAUAGAGGAUCUGGUCAAGAAUAAAUAUUAGAUCCAAAAACUAAGGAAAAAUCAGUAGAUGAAAUGAACAAUAGGCUUUACAGGAGAGGAGUGAUGUAUGAAUUAACUGAUUAGUUCUCCAUGUUAGUGGGUUUUGAAUGAAAGGUGGAGUUGGAAGAGAGGAGGGUUAUGAGAGGUGAGUAGUAGGAUUUGUGAGUCCAUUAGCGUGAAAGAAAAGAGAAAGAGAGAAGGUGUAAAUCAUUGUGAUUGGAAAUUGUGGGCACAUGCUAUCCAUAGUUGGGAAUUGAUGUAUUGGUUUAUGAUAAGCAAUAUCAAUUUAUAUUAUAUGGUUGAUGUUCUGCUUCUGCUGCUUAAUAUGUCUGAUGCUAUACUGAAUUCAUUUGACAUCCUUUGGAAAAAUUACUAUAACAUAUAAUUUUAAAGUUAAUUAAAAUGUUUUUUUAUUUGGUUCUUUUGUGAGGAAUUUUAUAGUCAAUUAGUUAAAAGAGAGUACAAUUUCAAAUUUUAAAACUAUGCUUCUCCUUCAAAAUCUUCACUUGUUUAUCCUCAUUUAAUAAAACCACCAAUCCAAAACUAGCUGAACUCUCCCACCUCCACCUUGUUCUCCUAUCUCUGGAUUCUUCUCUUUGAUUUGAGAUUCGCAACUGGUAGUCUUAAUGGGUCAUAGCCAACUUUUUGUCCAGAUUUCUUCAAUUUAUAGGUUUUAUUUUGUUGAUUUUGUCAUGUAAAGCAAUACAGCUCUGCUGAUAACAUUGUGCAUUGCACUCCCAGGUAGAGGAGAAUAUGCGAUUAAGGACUGAACUUCAGAAAAAAAUUCAGGAACUUGAAAAAUAUGUAAGUGCUUCUAAUAGUUUCUGCUACUCUAUCCAAUAUGAAUUGAAUUGCUAGCUGAUUAAAUCCAAGUAAUUCCUUGUUAGCUGGUGUAUUUGCUGGUCUAUAAUUCCUGUUUUCUUUCUCUUAACUUUUUUUCUGUAUUAAGUAUCACUUCCAUCUUCCUAUGAAUAUGUUAAUUCCUUAUCUAUUUCUUUGUGUUUUUCUUUUUCUUUUCUGUCUGUUCAUCUUAACACUCUCAUUCUUGCUCAUGCUAAACAAAGAAAGCUCCCAGCUAUGCUGAAAAAAAAAAAGAAAAUAUUUUUUUUGAGUUCGAAACUUAUUUCUCAUUCAACUGCUGGUAGUUUUUAAUAAGAACUGUUAUUAGCUGCAUUAAGCACAUUUGCCUUCAAAUUAAUUUUUUCCAUUGUAAUUUUUAAUUGUCAUAUGCCCAUAUCAUUGACUAUGUAAUUCUUGAUAUUUGCAAUUGAGAAUGGUUGUCAUGAGCUGAUUUUUCUUUUCUCUUCCGAGUUAUAAUUCAAUUCUAUCCCCCCUUUUCAUGUUUUAUUUUUUUUUCACCUUUUCUUGCAUCCUCUUUCCAUUUUAAUAAAACGAAAGCUAAGGUGUUGGGGAUUUUCAUUUCACCAUAGUGCAUGUUUUAGGAAACAUACAUUAUUGAUUAUACCAGGCUAACAUAGGUCUGUUUAAAUGCUGCAUAUGCUCUAAUUUGGACAAAACGAGGCUCAAUUGCUCAAAAUGGUUAAGCAUGCCUUAGUAUCUUGACCUUACACUUCCAACAUAAUCAGGUACUAAAACUGGAGAAUAUGGACAAAACCAGGCAUUGGAAAAUCGUGGGCUGUAGCGCAUACACAGGGGAGGGGCUGCUUGAGGGAUUUGAUUGGUUGGUUCAAGACAUGAUGAUACCUUAGGAUCUAGUCAACAUUAAGCAAUAGAGUUAGGUUUUUUUUAUUGGCCCUCUCAGAGAACUGAUUAACGUCCAUUUGUACUGUUUUAUUAACUAUCUUAUUGUUGUGGAAUUUAGUCAAGCUGUGAAUUCGACAAAAAAAAAAAAGUCAAGCUGUGAAACUUUUUGGGUCAAUAGUAUUAUUAAAACUUUCAAUGGGAA